This 1656-nucleotide long non-coding RNA is filed under the name Malus domestica (apple). RNAcentral's name for it is "long non-coding RNA (MDOM_LNC005787)". The record is from RNAcentral. Lineage: Eukaryota; Viridiplantae; Streptophyta; Magnoliopsida; Rosales; Rosaceae.
CAAAAUGUCGUAUCAAGUCUUCAACCAUGAAGUAAGUUUAGUUGAUGAAGUCGUCAACAUAAUGAGUGAAUGUGAGUCUCAAAACAUACAAAAGAAUACAUAGGUAGUGAAACUAACAAAACCUCACUAUAGUAAGACUCAGGGUGGGAUUAAAACACAUAGUCUAAGGCAACAUUCUAAAAUAUACAUCUAGGGCAACAUUCUGAAAGCUAAAAUUCAUCUCACUUGCUUAUCAUAAUUGUGUAGUACGGUGAUUGAGAUGAGACAUAGUGGGCAAUGGCCACUCUAAUUCGCUCAGUUCUUUAAGAACAUUGAUGUUCUUAUCUCCCCCUUACGACAGAAGUAUUGUCUCAUUAAAAUGACUGAUAGGGAUUUUACCACCUGCAAAAGUAGGGAUAAAAACCAAAGGUUCUAAAAAACGCUAGGCGCUAGUCGAGCGGUGCACCUAGCGCCUAGCACCUAGGUGGAUUUAGAUAAAUUUCUUAUAUAUUUUAUGAAUUAAUUAAAUUUACUAUAUCAAAUUUAAAUAAUUAUUGACUAAUAUGUUAUUUCUUAUGCAAGAACAUACAUAUGUGACUGUUUUAUGUGUAUAUAGGCGGAUUUAUAAUUUUUUGAAACUUAAUUAAAUUUAUUAUAACAAAAACUAGUUAUACUUAAUAAGAUGGACUGUUUUAUUAAUCCAAAUUCAAAAAUUAAUAAGAUGGUAAACAUAUAUAACGGCCCGGCCUGGCCCAGUCUACCCCACUGAAGGAAAUUUUGUGAAAAACAUGUUCAUUUGAGCAACAUCUAUAGCAUGCAAUUAACAAUUAAAAGGCGGAAUCAUGCUUGCAUGCACUCAAAAACAAAAUAUUAACCAUGAAAUUCAAAGCUUAGUAGAUUGGUGAACCAAGACUCAACUCAAAUCAAAGUGAGUUGAGAAAUUUAUACCUUUGUAGAUUCCUCUUUGCAUAACCAAAGGCUAAUCACCCAAGGAGAGGGCCUUCAUUCCUUGCUUCUUAGAUCCAUGGAUUUGGAUGGAAGAAUAUGUUUCUCCAAGUUCUCAAAAUAGAGAACCUCUAAGUCUCCACACCAAGGUAAGAUGUGAAGAAGAGAUGAGUGACCUUGGAGGAGAAAGAUUACUAGCUAAUCCCUCCAAGGGGGCCAGCCUCUUAGAGAGAAAAGAGAGAUAUGUUCUCUCCAAUUCUCUAAAAGAAACCCUAAAUGAAUUUUGGCUAUAAAGUCAUAUUUAUACCUUUAUUCAUUGGAGUGACAAACUUGUAAUUAAGUCCAAAACCCACUCCUUUAACAAAAUAGCCGGCCAUAGGGUUUCAUUGGGCUUUUAAGGCCUUUGUGAAUUAUUUAUCAUCAAGUUGUCAUACAACUUAAGUCAAUGGGCUUGACGUUCGAAGCCCAUUGGGCCUUGAGGCCCAAAACUAUCCCGAGGUCUUUAACGAACUUAUUCGUUUGAUUAAUUAACAUAUUAUUAAUCCUUGCCAUAAAUAAUUAAACCAUUUAAUUAUUCUUACUCAUCUCUAUUGUUUCUUCAAUCUCCACCUUACACGGUGUACGAUCCAUUAGGUUCCUUUUAGCGAGGCAGUGGGCAAUUAAAACCAUUUCAAAUCGAUUGUGAAUUGAAACUUACUUUCAAUUCUCCCUUUAGUGAUUAUACAUGUUUAG